UGUUGUUUGGCUUCUUUUAUAUAUCAUUAGACUAUUCUUACAGGAUUUUGCUGUCAAGAUUAUGCUGGCCUUAAAAAAUAAGCUGACUAUCAUUGUCUGCUCUCUGGAAGUAUUUGGCACAUCAGCUUUUUCCUGCCUUCGGACUUGCACUGAAACACUGGCUACUCCUGGGUCUCAAGCCUGCCUGCUUUCAGACUGGAACCAUAUUAUCAAGUAUAACAUUGGCUCUCCUGGGCCUCCUGCUUGCUAACUCACCGUGCAAAUCUUGGGAUGUGCCGGCCUCCAUAAUAUAUAGAUAGAUAUGUCCUAUUAGUCCUAUUUCUCUGAGGAACCCUGACUUAUACAAUUGGAUAUAGGAAUAUUCAGAUAUUCUAUUUCUUUCAGCAUCAUUGUUGACAGGUUGCGUUUUUCUAUCAAUUUGCCCAUCUUAUUUGAUUUUUCAACUUAUUGGCAAAAACUUAAUAAUACUAUCUUAUGUGUUUGUAACAACAACUGUAGUGAUGUUCCCAUUUUACAAGUAUUAUUAGAAAUCCUCUCUCUCUGGCUGGGUGUGGUCAGAUAAUUAUCUAUUACAGGCUCAGGCCUAUAAUCCCAACACAUUGGGAGGCUGAGAUAGGUGGAUUACUUGAGCCCAGGAGUUCGAGACCAGCCUGAGCAACAUGCCAAAACCCUGUCUCUGUGAAAAAUACAAAAAAUUAGCCAAAGGUGGUGCCUGGUGCCUGUAGUUCAAACUACCUAGGUGGCUGAGAUGGGAGAGUCACCUGAGCCUGGGAGGCUGAGGCUGCAGUGAGCUGUGAUUGUGCCACUGCACUCAAGCCUGGGCAACAGAGUAAGACUCCGUCUCAAAAAAAAAAAAAUCUUCUUUCUCUAGCUCUAUAUGCUCAGUCUUUCCAGAGGUUUAGCCUUCUUAUUAACUAUUUAAAAU
This 925-nucleotide long non-coding RNA is filed under the name Homo sapiens (human). RNAcentral describes it as "HSALNT0092700". Lineage: Eukaryota; Metazoa; Chordata; Mammalia; Primates; Hominidae. The record is from RNAcentral.